CCUACGGGUGGCUGCAGUGGGGAAUAUUGGACAAUGGGCGAAAGCCUGAUCCAGCCAUGCCGCGUGUGUGAAGAAGGCCUUCGGGUUGUAAAGCACUUUCAGUGGGGAAGACAGCCUUGGGGCUAAUACCCUCGAGGAAGGACAUCACCCACAGAAGAAGCACCGGCUAACUCCGUGCCAGCAGCCGCGGUAAUACGGAGGGUGCGAGCGUUAAUCGGAAUUACUGGGCGUAAAGCGCGCGUAGGCGGUCUGAUAAGCCGGUUGUGAAAGCCCCGGGCUCAACCUGGGAACGGCAUCCGGAACUGUCAGGCUAGAGUGCAGGAGAGGAUGGUAGAAUUCCCGGUGUAGCGGUGAAAUGCGUAGAGAUCGGGAGGAAUACCAGUGGCGAAGGCAGCCUUCUGGACUGACACUGACGCUGAGGUGCGAAAGCGUGGGUAGCAAACAGGAUUAGAUACCCCAGUAGUC
RNAcentral lists this ribosomal RNA (465 nucleotides) under Vreelandella stevensii. RNAcentral's name for it is "partial 16S ribosomal RNA". It matches the Rfam family "Bacterial small subunit ribosomal RNA", at positions 338 to 795 of the family's 1533-position model. Lineage: Bacteria; Pseudomonadati; Pseudomonadota; Gammaproteobacteria; Oceanospirillales; Halomonadaceae. The record is from RNAcentral.